AAAAAAAAAUUUUAAAGCCCUGCAGCAGCAGCAAAGAAGACCAAAAGGAGACAGAGAGAGAAAAGAGAGAGAGGAGACUUGAUAGAAAAAUCUGAUUCCCAAACCUCUUCUUGCCUACACAAAAACAAGCGUCCUGAGCCACGGGAGGGCGUUUGCACUGGAUCUGAGCGAGGAGCGGAGUUUGUGCCGCCGGAGCCGCCGGGCGCCGCGUCCACGAGUGGGUAAAUCCGCUACGAGCGGGGCUCCGGCUGUGAGCGCGGGGUGCGGGCGACAGUGGCGGGGAGCGACCGGCUUUAUCGCUGACUUGGAACAGCAUCAGGAAUUUUUUCCUCCCCUUGUGCAAGCGACCUUAAUGGGCUUGUGAUUUUUUUUUGUUCUUUCUCUUUUUUUUUCCUUUUUUCCCCUUUUUUUUUCUCUUUUUCUUUAUUGUUUUUUUUCCUCGCUUUUGGACAAAAAAGAGGGGAGCAAGGGGAGGGGGUGAGAAUUUUUCAGACGCGCUAUCUAGAGAGAGAAAUCGUCCUAAAUUCAUAAGGCGACUCUAAGUCUGACGGCGAUCAACGAAACCGUUUAAUUGCUUUACCCCUUUUCAAUCCCUCUCCAUUUUGAAUUUUAUUUUUUUCAUUUUUGCGUUGCUAUUAAUUUUUUAAUGAAGCUAUUAUUAUGCCAACCGCGGCGGAGCGGAGAGAUGGGAAACGCAUGCUUAACCUCCACCGGUUUCCCUUCAAGAGGAGAGAAAUCGGCUCCUUUGCCUGGCCAGCAAAGACAAACACACGAGCGGGAUUUUCGUUUCUCUCUGGGGAGGGAGCGGGGGUCCCCCGCAUCCCCCGCAUCCCCCGCCGGCUGCCCGGGGCUCGGACGGCGGCGGCCCGGCGUGGAGCGGAGAGCGGCUCCCGCAGUCCCCGGGACCGGGGGGGCUGUGAAGCAUCUCCGGGCGCUUUGCCGCCGCUCCUGCCUCCUUGCCGGGACGCGCCGCACGGCGCCGGCAGCCGGAGGCUUGGUGCGAGAUAUCCUCGGCGCUACCGGCUCCGUUGUUAUUAUUAUUAUUAACAAUAUUAUCAUUAUUACCAUUA
Molecule: long non-coding RNA, 1070 nt
Organism: Passer domesticus (house sparrow)
Lineage: Eukaryota; Metazoa; Chordata; Aves; Passeriformes; Passeridae
Exons: 2
Source: RefSeq, a predicted model, not a curated record